CAGCUCUCCGAGUGGUGUGGAUGUUUAUUGGGCCUAAAGCAUCCGUAGCUGGCUAAGUUAGUCCCUUGUUAAAUCCACCAAAUUAAUUGUUGGAUUGCGGGGGAUACUGCUUGGCUAGGGGACGAGAGAGGCAGACGGUAUUUUCGGGGUAGGGGUGAAAUCCUAUAAUCCCGGGAAGACCACCAGUGGCGAAGGCUGUCUGCUAGAACGCGCCCGACGGUGAGGGACGAAACCCUGGGGCGCGAACCGGAUUAGAUACCCGAGUAGUCC
RNAcentral lists this ribosomal RNA (270 nucleotides) under uncultured archaeon. Its description in RNAcentral is "partial 16S ribosomal RNA". It matches the Rfam family "Archaeal small subunit ribosomal RNA", at positions 477 to 747 of the family's 1478-position model. The record is from RNAcentral.